AUUGAACGCUGGCGGCAGGCCUAACACCUGCAAGUCGAGCGAGCGGCGGACGGGUGAGUAAUGUAUGGGGAUCUGCCCGAGAGAGGGGGAUAACUACUGGAAACGGUGGCUAAUACCGCAUACUAUCGGCUGACCCCAUAUGGGAUUAGCUAGUUGGUGAGGUAAAGGCUCACCAGCCGACGAUCUCUAACUGGUCUGAGAGGAUGACCAGUCACACUGGGACGGAGACACGGCCCCAACUCCUACGGGAGGCAGCAGUGGGGAAUAUUGCGCAAUGGGGGCAACCCUGACGCAGCCAUGCCGCGUGAAUGAAGAGGGCCUUCGGGUUGUAAAGUUCUUUCGGUAGCGAGGCGUUAACUACAGAAGAAGCACCGGCUAACUCCGUGCCAGCAGCCGCGGUAAUAC
This 405-nucleotide ribosomal RNA is filed under the name uncultured bacterium. RNAcentral's name for it is "partial 16S ribosomal RNA". It matches the Rfam family "Bacterial small subunit ribosomal RNA", at positions 30 to 526 of the family's 1533-position model. The record is from RNAcentral.